This is a non-coding RNA of Salvelinus sp. IW2-2015, 293 nucleotides long. The record is from RefSeq and is a predicted model, not a curated record. NCBI's taxonomy places the organism in Eukaryota, Metazoa, Chordata, Actinopteri, Salmoniformes, Salmonidae.
UGCAAAAUCGGCAUUGAUCAAAUACUUGUUCUCCCACAGUAUGUAUGUCACUGUUGCACUUAUGAAACAGCCUCCUCUGAGGUAACUACACAAACAUUCUAAAAGUUACAUUCCCAUUGGUCUGUCCAUCAGCCGGUUCUCUAGCCUGGGGACAAGGUUACAUUCCCAUUGGUCUGUCCAUCAGCCGGCUCUCUAGUCUGGGGACAAGGUAACAUUCCAUUGGUCUUGUCCAUCAGCCGGUUCUCUAGCCUGGGGACAAGGUUACAUUCCCAUUGGUCUUGUCCAUCAGCCGG